AUUGAACGCUGGCGGAAUGCUUUACACAUGCAAGUCGAACGGCAGCACGGGGGCAGCCCUGGUGGCGCGUGGCGAACGGGUGAGUAAUACAUCGGAACGUGCCCGGUCGUGGGGGAUAACGUAGCGAAAGUUACGCUAAUACCGCAUACGAUCUGAGGAUGAAAGCGGGGGACCUUCGGGCCUCGCGCGAUCGGAGCGGCCGAUGUCGGAUUAGGUAGUUGGUGGGGUAAAGGCCUACCAAGCCGACGAUCGGUAGCUGGUCUGAGAGGACGACCAGCCACACUGGGACUGAGACACGGCCCAGACUCCUACGGGAGGCAGCAGUGGGGAAUUUUGGACAAUGGGCGCAAGCCUGAUCCAGCCAUUCCGCGUGCAGGACGAAGGCCUUCGGGUUGUAAACUGCUUUUGUACGGAACGAAAAGGCUCUGGCUAAUACCUGGGGCUCAUGACGGUACCGUAAGAAUAAGCACCGGCUAACUACGUG
Molecule: ribosomal RNA, 484 nt
Filed under: uncultured bacterium
Lineage: Bacteria
Description: partial 16S ribosomal RNA
Rfam family: Bacterial small subunit ribosomal RNA
Source: RNAcentral